AGCCCGACUUGGGGUAUGAACUCAUGAACUGUGAGAUCAUGACCUGAGCCGAAGUCCCAUGCUUCACCAACUGAGCCACUCAGGUGCCCCUCUCUUCGCUUGAAGUCCCCAGUGUCAGUAUCUUUUCUCCUUCCCAUGUGGCAAAAAAAGUUGACUGGAGAAGGUGGGCCUUUCUCUAAAUAAUCCGGGGUAACAAGAAGGGAUUUUUGGAGUAGUCACGACAGGAGCUCUGUGCUCUUAGAGAAAGACUCUAAAGGCAUUACUUGAUUCAAAAGGCAAGACAGCAGUUGGUCUACCAACUGAUUUGUAGCUUGAGCACCUGCACAGAGAAGGUUCUCACCCCCCAGGCCACCUCCUGUGCACACACUUGUAAGCACGCACACCUGUGCCCUUUCCCCAGGCAGCAGUCAGAGGAGCCAGUCCCCCACCGGGAUGGGUUCCUCAUACAAGUCCCCACUAUCAUGAAGAAGCAGGGUGGGAGUACGGGAAUAAAAAGGGGGUCAAGGAUAAUCUGAUUAGUUCUUUCUUCUCUUUCCCACAGAAAGCCCAUCAGCGGGAAACCCGUUUGGAUCCGGGCACCUGCUGGCAUCUGUGUGUGCUCUUUUACACCACCUGCUUUCCAGAACUGUGCUUCUAGCUUGUCAGAAGUCAGGGGUGGUAAUCUCCAGAAUAAAAGGAGAAAUGGAAAAGUGGAACCAGUGAGAGGCCUUCAUGGCAAACCCAAAUGUAAAUUAAACUGCCCCCCACCCCAAAGCUCAUGAAAAGUUAUGCCCCUGGCUUUCCAUUUCUUUAUUUUGCACUUUUAAAGCUCCCUCCAUCCUGAACAGUCUUGUGGAAAGUAUUUGAUUCCAGAGCCUGAAGUGUUUGUCUAUUUUUCAGAAAAGAAAAUCUGAAAUUCCAGAGGUUGGCCACUGGAAAUGUUAAGCUAUAAUAUUAAUCAUAAUUCAACAGAGUCCUUUCUGCUUCCGGAAAGGGCUGAAAUAAAGAUGUGACCAUUGUACCACCGUGUUCAACAGUGCGUGAGAUGCCGCACGGAAGGUAACAUGCUCUGUCUACAGAACGUCCUCUCAGAUUGCGAUCUAAGAAAAUUAAAAAGGUAUACACCGUA
Herpailurus yagouaroundi (jaguarundi) is the source of this 1108-nucleotide long non-coding RNA. RefSeq lists it as uncharacterized. The record is from RefSeq and is a predicted model, not a curated record. The transcript has 2 exons. Lineage: Eukaryota; Metazoa; Chordata; Mammalia; Carnivora; Felidae.